GUCAUAUCUAAUAAAAAAAACAAAUUCUCUAAUUUUAUUCUUAUGAAACUUGCUGCUAUACGACUCUUAUUUACUCUUCUCCUAAUUAAAUUCAGUUCAUCACAAUCAUAUUUUUUCAAUUUUAUUUUAUAUAAUUUUCUUGCUUUUUUUUUGUUUAGCUAUCUCCGAAUUUCGUUUUGAUUCAAUUUAACGAUUGAAUCUGCUCUUCUCGACUCAUUACAAACAAUUCCUCUACUAACCUAACUCUAGAAGCCUGCAAAACAAACCCAAAAUCAACAACCUUUCCUACAGAUAUCACAAAAUUGCCCAAAUGGAUAAUCUUAUAAAAGGCUGUGUUAAUUUCACCUGGUGAUGAUCAAUUGUGGUGGCGGAAUUAUUCAAGGAGCUACACGGAUUACUGUACGGCAAGUGGUGCUGAACGGCACACUGUCUAUUGCGUCUUGCACCGUUAUGUAAUCGCUGGAGCCAUCUCGGGCCAGCGUCAGCACUCUACUCGCCAUUGAUUAUAUAAAGGUUGUUCCUUCCCUCAGCAAGCUGCUUCUAUUCCAUUGAGCAAAGAUAUGCACCGAUUGGCUUCACCAUUCUUGGAGAAUAGACUUGCUGAGGGAGCUGAAGUGGAAAUGGAAGUAAUUCCAAUGAAUGAUAACAAUCAUGAGCUGUCAAACUCAUUUAAGGUUGCGUCACCUUUGGUUGUGGAUGAAACUCAGCUGGAGAAAGUACUAGGGGUAAUAAUUCUGCCUCAGUUUUUCUAUUUUUCUACAGUAUCUGCUAUAUAUGGUUCUUUAUUCGUCACGUGCACUGUCGAGAUUUUUUUCUUUAUAUUUUAUCUGCAAGAUUCUUCUCUUUCAACAAUUAACAUUCAUUAACAUUUGGUUGGAUUAAACUUGUCUUAUAGCUAUGCCAUCGUGAAUAAGUGCUUUGUGUUAAUGCAUUUGCUUGCAGAAACUGGUGGAUGAUUUUAAUAGAUGUUUAAUUACACAGAUGAAGUGAAAAUUCUUGAUCAAGAUCUACUGUAUUCUUUUACUUUUAUUAUCUGCUCAGUAGUUAAGAAGCGCAGGGGAUUUUAUCAAUGUCUUAAUAAUCCUUAUAAUCUUUAUUUUUCACUUUUUGGAAUCUGGUUAUUUUUGGAAUACAUCAUUGCCAACUACUAAAUGAUCUGGAACUGUCCACUCUUUUUUCUAAAUCUCAGAACUCCUUCCUUCACUCAGUAUAUUUUACAACUUUCAUGUGUUCUUUCUUUUUAAGUAGAGUAAGCAGAUUCAUUAGCUAAAUGCGCUUUUGGACCAUAAAUUUUUUUUAAUCAUUUGAAGUUUUCUUACACUCUGCACAUGACAGUAGAUGCAUAAUAUAGAACGACGUUUAUCUUUCAUGGAAUUUGUUUAUUUUUGCUUUAGUUGUAGGAUUUUUUUACGCACCCCAAAAAUAGCGGUAUAGAGUUCUUUUUUUUUAAAUUGUUUUAUUCUAUAAUAUUGGCGGCAUGGAGAUGGGCAUAUGUAGGCGGUUUUGGACCACGUAAAACUUUCCCUGAAUCUGUUAUCCUAUGCUAUGAGUCGGCCUAAGAAGUUAAGAACUCAUAGUUGCAAUAUGGAUUAUAUCUUCUGCUUCUGUCCUUGAUGUGGUGAAGUUUGAAGUUCAGCUUUACAGAACUCGGGAGGAGAAAUACUUGCUCGAUUUUCAUGCGCUUUCAAGAAUUGUUUAAUGGCAGUAAAUUUCAUCUCAUGAAGUCUCUACUAUUCUAUCCAACAAUUUUGGGUGUGCGUUACUUUUCAAAACUCAUGUGCUCAAUUACAUUUUAUAUGUGCUAAUUUCUUUUGUUGAAAUUGAACCCCGAUGUCUUAGUAUGGAUGAAUUUAGUUAAUUUUUUACCCUUUCA
Mercurialis annua (annual mercury) is the source of this 1873-nucleotide long non-coding RNA. RefSeq lists it as uncharacterized. NCBI's taxonomy places the organism in Eukaryota, Viridiplantae, Streptophyta, Magnoliopsida, Malpighiales, Euphorbiaceae. The transcript is spliced from 5 exons. The record is from RefSeq and is a predicted model, not a curated record.